Molecule: small RNA, 117 nt
Filed under: Macaca fascicularis (crab-eating macaque)
Lineage: Eukaryota; Metazoa; Chordata; Mammalia; Primates; Cercopithecidae
Description: Metazoan signal recognition particle RNA (ENSMFAG00000047833.1)
Source: Rfam by way of RNAcentral
GCUGGGCGUGGUGGCUCAUGCCUGUAAUCCCAGCACUUUGGGAGGCUGAGAUGGGUGGAUCACCUGAGGUCAGGAGUUCGAGACCAGCCUGGCCAACAUGGUGAAAUCCUGUCUCUA